This 253-nucleotide ribosomal RNA is filed under the name uncultured bacterium. Its description in RNAcentral is "partial 16S ribosomal RNA". It matches the Rfam family "Bacterial small subunit ribosomal RNA", at positions 524 to 776 of the family's 1533-position model. The record is from RNAcentral.
UACGUAGGUGGCGAGCGUUGUCCGGAAUUACUGGGUGUAAAGGGCGUGUAGGCGGGGAUGUAAGUCAGGUGUGAAAUACCAAGGCUUAACUUUGGGGCUGCAUCUGAAACUAUGUUUCUUGAGUGCUGGAGAGGAAAGCGGAAUUCCAAGUGUAGCGGUGAAAUGCGUAGAUAUUUGGAGGAACACCAGUGGCGAAGGCGGCUUUCUGGACAGUAACUGACGCUGAGGCGCGAAAGCGUGGGGAGCAAACAGG